GAGUUUGAUCUUGGCUCAGAUUGAACGCUAGCGGGAUGCCUUACACAUGCAAGUCGAACGGCAGCACGGACUUCGGUCUGGUGGCGAGUGGCGAACGGGUGAGUAAUGUAUCGGAACGUGCCUAGUAGCGGGGGGAUAACUACGCGAAAGCGUAGCUAAUACCGCAUACGCCCUACGGGGAAAGGCAGGGGAUCGCAAGACCUUGCACUAUUAGAGCGGCCGAUAUCGGAUUAGCUAGUUGGUGGGGUAACGGCUCACCAAGGCGACGAUCCGUAGCUGGUUUGAGAGGACGACCAGCCACACUGGGACUGAGACACGGCCCAGACUCCUACGGGAGGCAGCAGUGGGGAAUUUUGGACAAUGGGGGAAACCCGUGAUCCAGCCAUCCCGCGUGUGCGAUGAAGGCCUCGG
Molecule: ribosomal RNA, 411 nt
Filed under: uncultured microorganism
Description: bacterial SSU rRNA
Rfam family: Bacterial small subunit ribosomal RNA
Source: RNAcentral